Ostrea edulis (European flat oyster) is the source of this 1525-nucleotide long non-coding RNA. RefSeq lists it as uncharacterized. Lineage: Eukaryota; Metazoa; Mollusca; Bivalvia; Ostreida; Ostreidae. The transcript has 3 exons. The record is from RefSeq and is a predicted model, not a curated record.
AUCUGUAAUAAUGGUAGAUCAAAUGUUUCAUCUGUGUGAAACGUUUUGCUAAUCGAAAUGUUAAACCAACCACCAAUCCAUGUACAUAGAUGCACUACGUAAACAAAGUUGUUGGUUGAUACAUCGUAAUGUCCGAGUGCAGCAUGCUGCGAGAUUAAAUACUGUUUAUACAGUCAUGGAGAGGCUAAACAAAGUUUCUUGCAAGAAGAGCAAGUUGAUGGAUGCAUUCAACUUGGACAACGAAAUCAUAGUUUCGUUUGGCAUCAGACUGAGGACCAAGGGAGGUUAGAUAGGACCAGUGCAGGUUGAAGUGGAUUUCGAGUCAACAAGUAUAACAGCAAGAGAGGUACUCCAUUUACAGUGAUGAUGACAUAUCCCCUGGACCCCCACAACUCCACAAAUUUAAAAAUGUUUGAUCAAGUUCCGAAGAUUAAAGAACUACUGCAAAAUUUGGGACUUGGAUGAAAAACAUUAAUUCACUUAUAUGAGAUCAGAGCAGUGGAUGUUGUACAACAUACUUUAAACUAAAUUGAGAAUUUAAGGGAAAACAAGAAUAUUGCAUAGAUGUAAAGGAAAUUUCAAUGUUGAUUAUUCUUUCUUAGAUAUAUUAGUAAAAAAUGUGCACAUGAUAGAAUACCAAUUUUAUAACUUCAAUCAAUGUGUUUGAAUUUUCCUUGUAAUUCAAAAUUUAGUUGAAACAUACAUCAUUGAUACAUUAGUGUAUAUCAAAUUUUUAGAAAAGUUUCUUAAUGGAACUAAUUCACCCCCUCCCUUAUACAUACAGUGAACACAGACCUUCACCUGGGGAAAACUAGUUAGUUAAUGCAAUAUACAUGUACAUGCAUUCUCAAUUAUCCAAUAGUGAGUUUUUGGUCCAUUGUGAAACUACAAUUAGAAAUCUUAAACUUAUGAAAGACACACCUAUCUGUGAGGGCAAGAUGACUCAGAUGGACUUACAUGUAGUGAUCCAUGGGCAGUCCAUGGGUCUCUUUCCAUUGGUAUUAAUUAUUUAUUGAAAUAUGAAAUGGUUAUUUAAACAUAUUUGGUGUAUUAUACUGUAUAGUGAUAUAAAUUUCUAUCAAAAAAUAUGUAUAGGUAAUAGAUUUGUUCCAGUUAUUACAAGAAAUUGUAUGAAAAAUAACUAAAUAUUUAGGCAAUCACUGUGAGUGCGAAAAGGUCAACUGCAAUAGCACACACUAUAUAUCAUUCUUAAGUGGCUCAUAGAAACUUCUAGUAUUGUGAGUUUGAAUGCUCAAUGUGGUAAUUUGGGAAUGCUUAAUCAUUUAAGGUCAAAAGUUUAUCUUUGCUGACUGUAUCUCUUAAAAUUCAUUUCUAGAAGGGAGGGGGUAGGGUUACAAAAUCUGACAUAGUUUGGUAUAUUUUUUUUCUAUUCAAUAUUUUAGAUACUACUUGACUUAUUGUAAAAAGGAAAUAAAAUCAGAAAUUUUAUGAGCAGAAUGUUGUUGUUGUCAGAAAUUAUAAUGUAUGCCUGAUAGUAUUUGAGAAACGCCAUAUUUAAGGUAAA